GUGGGGAAUAUUGGACAAUGGGGGGAACCCUGAUCCAGCCAUGCCGCGUGUGUGAAGAAGGCCUUUUGGUUGUAAAGCACUUUAAGCGAGGAGGAGGCUACCGAGAUUAAUACUCUUGGAUAGUGGACGUUACUCGCAGAAUAAGCACCGGCUAACUCUGUGCCAGCAGCCGCGGUAAUACAGAGGGUGCAAGCGUUAAUCGGAUUUCCUGGGCGUAAAGCGCGCGUAGGUGGCCAAUUAAGUCAAAUGUGAAAUCCCCGAGCUUAACUUGGGAAUUGCAUUCGAUACUGGUUGGCUAGAGUAUGGGAGAGGAUGGUAGAAUUCCAGGUGUAGCGGUGAAAUGCGUAGAGAUCUGGAGGAAUACCGAUGGCGAAGGCAGCCAUCUGGCCUAAUACUGACACUGAGGUGCGAAAGCAUGGGGAGCAAACAGGAUUAGAAACCCUAGUAGUCC
This 451-nucleotide ribosomal RNA is filed under the name uncultured bacterium. RNAcentral describes it as "partial 16S ribosomal RNA". It matches the Rfam family "Bacterial small subunit ribosomal RNA", at positions 354 to 796 of the family's 1533-position model. The record is from RNAcentral.